RNAcentral lists this transfer RNA (73 nucleotides) under Plasmodium vivax (malaria parasite P. vivax). Its description in RNAcentral is "tRNA-Ile". The record is from RNAcentral. Lineage: Eukaryota; Apicomplexa; Aconoidasida; Haemosporida; Plasmodiidae.
UUAAAAAUAUUUUUAUGAAUAAAAAUUUUUUUUUAUAUACUAAUAAUUAUAAAUUAUAUUUUUAUUAUAUAAA